CAAAUGUAGACUAAUGGUUAUGUAAAUGUCACUAAUUUUAGAUACAGAUCUGAAAGUGUGUUUCCUUUUAAGAUUUUAUUUUCUUCACUAUCAUGACUCAGUAUCACUUGCUAAUCUAAUUUUAUUAGCCCUGUUGUAUUUUACCAUUUAAAAUACACAUACCUUAUUCAAAUAGGUCUUCACAGAGUCAAGUUAAUACAUCAUAUAGAUGUUUUAAAAAGAGGAAAAAAGGCUUAUCUGCACUCAAGAGAUGUUUUGAUUUUAGCCUUCACAGAACUGCUACUGGUGCAGUUGCACAGGUACGGACAUGAUGUAGAUGAAUAUGAAUCCAAGUUGUUAUAAUUCAUUAGUUUGCAUUAUUUGACCAUAUUUCAUAAUUUCAGACUGGUAAAAUCACAUUCUCAUUUUCUACUACUGCUAUGAAUUAGAACUGACAAAAUUACUAAUAGCUAAAAUUUCUGAUUUAGUUCAGACCUGAGCAGUUCUCAAUAGCACAGCUAUGCAGAAUUAGAUAGCCUACAGCUUUUCAUAAAGAACAUAUGUGUGCACAUUUACCUACUACAUUUCUCUUAAGACACAUGACCAAAAUGGAGUUGACUACUUAGAAAAAAUAUCCUAUCUGGCUCAAAGCUGGAUAGCUUUCUCAUUGAGUUUAUUUAGGUAAGUUUCUCUAGGGAGUUUCUUUUCUUUCUUUCAACCUAUGUAACUGAUAAAUAUUAAAGAUCUGCACAUAUACUUCAGCCAUUUGAGAACUUAGAAUGCUUGGAAAGACCUUUAAGGUCUCUGCUUUUUUUCAUUAUGCUGCAGACUGGUGCUUGCAGCAGGCCCAUCCAUCCAGUUGCUCUUGUAGAUCUGGUAUUUUAAUGUACCCAGGAUUUUUCCCAGAGACUUCCAUGAGUAGAUAUGAAUCUAAAGAGCUGAUCAAAGACUUGAGAGCAUACAACAAAUAAGUCUAUUUGCCUGGCUUUGUCAAAGUCCAGUGGCCAAACUGUUUGUUCCUGACUACUUCAUUGUACUCGUGUUGGCCUUUGUGAGAAGAGUGAAGCAGCCUGUGCUUCCCUCUGGUUCACCAUGCAAACUCCUAUCACUGGCACAAGGGCAGGAAAUAGCAGGGAGCAGGAAGAAGCAGAAGGGCAAAGGUUGGAGUGCCUUGUUCGGUGGCCCUAGCAGCAUAGAAUAGUUCAGUGACAUGGUGAAAACACAGUUUGAGCAUUUGCAGAACCAGAGUUCAACUGAGGAGCCAAAGUUCCUGUCUGGAUAAGAAAACUACUUCAAGUGCUUAUGAAGGCCUACUCAAACGAUUCACUUCCUAAACCUUUGAAAAGGAUGUUACAUUUCUCACAUGGUUCUCAGGUGACUUAAUAUUAGCAGUUAGAUUUUCCAGAGGCUUGCCUGUAUGGGUGGUGCCAGAGACUGUGGCUGGAUCAAACUCACUUCAUGUUGCGGCUCUGGGGUCCAAAGGACUGUGCCUGAUGUAAAAAAGGAAGGUUCACUGUUUUCAGUUCAAGUGCUUAUUUUCUGCUAGGCUUAGAAACUGUAUGGGAAAAAGAUGCUUAAUUUACAUAAAAAGGCAAGAAAAGAUAGGCCUGCCUGAAAAUAAACUGAGACUAUUAGCUGUAUAUGAGUGAAGACAACUAGUUUUAGGAGCAUGUCUAAAAGUCAGGUGUUAAAAGGUUGGAGCUGAGAACAGAUACGGGAAGAUCUGAUGAACCGGUAAAUCAGAAUGAUUGAAAUAUGUUGGGCAGAGAUUUGGGGCUGGGUUUGUUUAUUGAAAUUGGAGAAGCAGCAGCCUGACAGAGGGGAUCUGGCUUGAGGCAAAGAGAACAAGUCAGGGAAAGAGGCUUGCACUCCUCAGAUGAUUGCAUACAUUCACUGGAGUGCUCUGCACUUCACAUCCAGAAAGGAAUACAGACUGUUAAGUAGUAGCUUUUGCUGUCAUAUGGGAAAUCCCUGUCAAUUUCAUCCCCUCCUUGUAUUCCACAGAGAAGAGGGCAAACCUAUUAGUACCCUCAGCUACUUCACAGAUUUUGGUCCUGAAAAGAAACCUCAAAGUAAGAGUAGUUGAGGUUGGAAGGGAGAUCUCUAGUUCAAACAGGGUAGUUUUUUUAAGGCUAUGUCCAGUCAAGUUUGAAUACAUUCAAGGACGGAGACUCUGCAACCUGUCCUAUUCAGCUAGAAUUUCAUGCACUUAAUUUCAUACCUGUGGCCUCUUGUCCUAUUUCUGGACAGAGAAGAGCCUGGCUAUGUCUUUUUUACUCUGCUGUACCCCCACCAGCAGGCAUUUAGAAACAUUGCUGAGAUCACACAAACACAAGCCCUUUCUUCUCCAGGCUGGAGUCUCAGCUCACUCAGCUUUCUUCGUGUGAAAGAUUCUUCAGUUCUCUCAUCGUCUUUGUGGAAGUAAAUAAAAUGCUUCAUCUAAUAAGGGGAAUUAGAAUUCAAAGGAGGAAAUGUUUUUUUUUUGGGGGGGGGGAAUAAAGCGCAAGCUAAUAACUAAAAAGAACAAAAAUAUCAGAAAAUGAAAUAUUAAGAAGUUAGAUAACUCCUGCUUUAAGAUUCUGCAAUCUUCAUUUGCCCCCUUGUGUCAGUAUACUAUGAAGCAACCUUUGUGAUCACACAUCACACAGAAUGUUUAAUCUAUUGAUAGGGUGAACCUGUGGUGCUGGGUUGGGGAGGGUGCUUGUGGGCCACAAGCAAGAAGCCUGAUGGUGCUGUAGAUGCUGCAGGCAUUAGUAAAAAAUUCUCUAGGCAAUGGAGCAAAUGGCUGCAAGUAGAGAAAACCAUGUCUUCAUGGUUAUGUCAAGUGAGAAUUCCUAAGAACUGACUUAUGUGUUAUGUGGAUGUCAUGUGUUUUUUUCUGCCUUUAUUCUUGUGUGAUGCUGGACAAGUAACCAGGCCAUUGUUUCUGUAGCGCGUGUAUUGUGCUUUACUUUAGAGGUGUCUGAUUUAAAACUCACAUCUGAAAGAAACACUGGUGGUUCACAUCGCUACCUGAGCUUCUUAGGAGUUGUCAUUUGAAUUAUAAUACUGUGUAAAGUUAUGUCUGCUGACAGUCUCCUGUCUUCUUAAAGAGAACUUCAGACUGUUGCAUACUCUAAUAGUUUCUACACCUCCGUGUCAUGUUUAAAGUAGGGGAAAUGGACACAAACCUUGAAGGGCUGGUAGCUACUUUUGUUUAGUAACUCUUCUACAGUAAUGCAUUGCCUUAUGCGAUUUUCUAUGGCAUUUAGUAAUUCUGAUUUCAGAGGAAGAGGUGAGUACUGUGCAUCUUUUAAAGACCAGAUCUGCAAUCAACUUUCCUUGUUACCAGCUCAGGCUGGGAAGCAGAGUUUCUGUGCUGUUUAUUCAUGUUCUAUUUCUGCAGUCCUGUGAGCUCCAAAAUACUCUGAUUUGUGUACUGUCUGGUCACGGAUUCAUUUUGCAAAUAUAACUCAUUAUUAAACACCUGUGUGUGCCAUUUUUUCUUGUCAUUUUUGUAAGUAACAUCGUCAACAUUGUGCAAAAUCUUCUGUAUAAUAAAGGUAACGUACGUGUUUGAACUUCAGCAUAUUUGACGAUGAAUUUACUGUGAAGAUUUUCAGAAAGAAUAAGCUUUUUAAUUGUAACCAUUUCUUAAUGUACAGUGGUAAGCACUGCAUCUCUAAAAAUAUGAAGUUACUUAUACCUAAGUAUUUAGGACUUCUGCCAUUUUCCUCAAAUUUCAAAGGCAGUUUUCUUGGUACUGCCUAUGGCAUACUUUGGUAAAUGAGAGUGGUCUGUACUAGAAAUUUGGAUACAGUGAUCUGAAAAUGUUUCAGCUUUUCCUUUAGUCAUGGUAUCUUAAGUUUGAGGAAAAUCUCUUCUAAUCAGGUAGCCACAUUAGCAGUAAUGGUUGAAUGUGAAGUGUUUAGAUUCCCUUUAUCUGCAUCGCAACCUAUUGUCACAGAAGUCACAAGAAAUGAUAGAAAUGUGCCCAAAGUGGUAGCUGCUAUUGUACCAGUUUGGCAGUAGCUGCAAUUCUUCAUAUAAAAAACAAACAAAACAUUUAAAAUGUAUUUGAAUGAAAACUUAUGUCUGAGGUAUAUGCAAAUCUCCUUUCUAAGGUGGCAGUUGUAAGUGUAUCACAAUAAAAUAUUUAACUAGAAAGAGAAAUAAGAAAAAAUGGAAAAAUACAAUGGCAUGAGUGACAUUGCUCAUCUUUCUGUGAGGGGGAUAAUAAUCAUCAGAGUACUUAUUUUUCACUCCAAAUAGUUUAUUUCUGUUAGAAGCUAUUUAAUGGCUGUCAGGUGCAACUCUUUUUUCCCCAUGUUUUAUUAACUUAAUAGCUCUGUAUUUUUAAUAAAUAAAAUUUCUUGUAUUGCUUCUGCCUCUUAAUGUAAAAUUUGAACUUUUAUGUUCAAAAGUUCUGAAAUUUCAUAUUAAUUAUAGCAGCAUUUAUCUAGUUUUUAUCUUCAGUCUAAAGUGUACAGUGCAUAGUAGGUGACGGCUUAGUUUCUCUUGAGAGAUAGGAAUAAUAUAUCCAUAGUGUUUUCUUCUGCUGUUUAUAGCCAUAGGAGUCAGACAUGGAUAGAAAGCUUCUCAUUUCCCUGUUUCUGCAGGGCAAUUGUGUGGCUUUAUUGCCCACAAAAGAACCUUCUGUUAGCAGGUUUUAUACUUUUAAGUGGUUUUAAAAGUAAAACAUUUUGGAAUCUCUCAAGAAAUACUCAAAGAAGCCUUAAGUAUUAUAAAACUUGAAGUAUAUAAGGCAUAAAUUAUAGCGUAGAAAGUCUGAAAUGUAUAAAUUUCUAAUGUUUUAUUGAAAUAAAGGCAAAGGAAGAGCUUCAGAGGUUAUAUUAUUUGACCAGCUAGAAUAGUCAACAAUAAUGUAAGACUAUGGUUCUACAGCCUCGUGAUUCUUGAGCUGGACAAGUUAGGGGAUGAGUUUUUGGGUUCCCUUACUAUUACCCUGGCUCUCUGUCUUUGGUUGUUUCACCAAAUGACUUUAGGUUAGUUUUUUGUAAGCUCAGCCAGCUGAAUGUGCUUGCUGUAAGCAACAGUGCCAGCACUGAGGAAAACACCCUUCAUUCCUGAGACUGGCAAUCCAUUUUUAAAGUCCAUUUACAUUGCUUAAAUCACUGUAAGGAAUAUUCAGGGCCUAGUUCUUCCUUUCUUGACACUACUACAUACAGACUUUGCCUAUCUGCUCUUUAAACCAAUAUCAAAGGGUCUAAAAACAUUUUGAUCUAUCUCUUUUCUUGUACAGAAGAUUUGUAUCAACAUAUGAAGCCAGCAUAAAAAUGCUCAAUAUAGAUAGAGCUUCUUAGCAUCUGGAAGCAGCUGUGAUAUGCUUUUCCUAUUAUCAAAACAGUGUGAGAGUCUCCCCCUUUUCCAACAAGCAAUAUCUUGUUGCAGACACAUCAAUAAAUACAUUAAAGCUAUAUUAUCCAUCUAUAAUGGAACUUCCAGAUCAAAAAUAUGAAAUUUUUAGUAGUAUGAGACAAAGAUGCACAAGAACUCAAAUGUUUUGGAGGUAUGAAAUGUGUUAAAUUACUUGUUCUUCAACCGGUUUUAGGAAAUGUGCAUGAAUGGUAGGUUGUACAGUCAGGAAAAGGAUUUCACUGCAGAUUUGAUAACAUCGUGUAGCCAGACAGCCCCCUGUUGGUUGUAUUGCUGUGGAGGUUCUAGAAAGGAAUUGUGCUUGAAUUCAGCUGUUCAUUGCACUCAGCAAGCAAUUUUUUUUUCAAUUCCAUAUCACAAAUAGAGAAAGUGGAGGGAGAAGAAAAAUGUGUGUGCUUAUAAAAACUGCCUUUGAAUCAAAUUUUAUCUCUUAUGUAUAGGAAAUGUAAAGCUCAGUUAAAUAGAGUGCCUGCACACAGUUUCUUAAUGCCUUUAUAGAAAUUUAUUUCUAAAUUGCUGUAGUAAAAAUGUAGAACAGUACUUUGUCCUUGUGAUAAAACUUAAGACUAGCAUGCUUUAAUAUCACAUUCACAGCCUGACUAAGGCAAAGUAUUUAAAUCAAUUUCUGUCAAGAAUGCAGGAGUUUAAAACACUGAAGUUUGUAAGCUGGCAGUGAACUAACUAGGUACAGCCUUAUUUAGUGACUGAGACUCUCUUGCAGGCACAUCUAUGAGAGCUUCUAUUUAACAAGGUACAGUUUUACCAAGAGUCUUGGGGGCGCUUUUUAAUCCCGUUUGCUUUGCUUAGGAUGUUUUUUGUAUGUGUUUCAAGUUGCUACCAAUGCAACUAGCAGCAUACUUGCAGUUUGUGUUUUCUCAUAUAUUGAGAAACUGAAGAAAUUAUUACUCAAAAUGAAGUUAAUGUUUCAUGCUGACAACUGCAGGACACUUAUUAGGCAUUUUUGGCAUUUUGACUUUUUUUUCCCCCCCAAAGAGUUUGUAAAGAGAACCUAAAAUCUCCCUUGUAAUGGUCACUGUAUAUCCCUGUAGUGAGGGAAUGCUGUAGGUGCUCUAUGAAAUAUAGUACUGGGUGACACAAGGAUUCUAGAGAGAACUGUCACAGAGGUACAGGAUUUUCUGCUCUAAGAUAAACAAUACAGAAGUUCUCUCUGCACCAGUUAUGGUCAAGGUUAUAAUGGCUCAUCUUCAUUUAAAGAAUUGGAUUUGUGGCUGAAAAUCCGUAACUGCAACAGUACUAGAGAAACUGAUGUGACAAUUAGUUUUCUACUACAGCACACAAGACUAGCAUGUUGCCAAGAAAGCCAGAGUGCUGGAAGACUUUUUUUCACUCUUGAAACACAUUAAAAAAAUCAGUGAUCACAUAUCUUGGAACAGCUGGCAGAAACAAGAGGGUAAGGCUACAUGCUCUGAUUGAAAUGGGGGAAUGGGAAAAAAUGGGGACAGAAAAAAGAACUGGUUUAAAAUUGUCACGACUUGCUAAAAUCCCUCAGAAGAGUUUUAAGAAACUAGCUGAAACAAUCUCAAGGCAAGGGUACUCUUCCACAGAACAGAAAACCUGGGUUUCAGAAACCUGAGGAGAUUCAAGUUCAUAUCUCCUGCUUCUGAAAAAAUACCCAGUGGAAGUUGCCCACAGAUGUUCCCCAUCUUUCCUGUUAAAUCAAGGAUAUGUGCAAAAAAGUCACAAAACUGUUUUGUUCUAAGGUUGUUGGCAGUGGUAACUAUUGCUGUUAGCAGAUGAAAGCAAGCUGCAGCUUGGAUUUCAAAGGGUAGUGGAAUUUGCUUUUAUUGGACUAACUGUGCAGUUCCUCGCAUGUUCCAUAUUCUUUUCCUAAGAUGUUUCCUGAAGUAAUGGUAAAGCCAGCAUACAAUAAAUGUAAGUACCCAUUAAAGCGCACUAAAGGAAUACCUUAUGUUUCCAGUAGAUGAACAUUGAGAUAAUGAAGUAUUUGUUAAUCGCAUCAGUCUUCUAUUAUGCCAAAUUCUGGAUUUUAUUGCUGAAGAGCGCAGCAGUAAAGGUGGCUUUAAGCUGCUUUAUUCUCCUGCAUUCUCUAAAUCUGCUGAAGAUGGAAAGCAGGGAGCAGCAUUAAAGAACUUCAUGGCUGUUCAGCAACCAGCAAGGGGACUCACCUUCCCUCCUGCAAUCUACCCUCUAACUACUUUCUUUCUGUGUUUGAAGCAGCUUUUUGAGUCUUUGGGUUUCAGAGGUUUUUUGUUUUAGUUUGAGUUUUCCUUACAGGGGAGUUUACAUUCCCCCCGAUAAGUUAGCAGCAUAGGUAAGAGCCUGUUCUAGGUUGAAGAAGAGUCACAUAACUUACCCUGUUCAGAAAAAUUAAACUAUUCUUCCUCUUCUGAGGAGUGGUUACUCCAUUCCCAAAUUAGAAUUGAACUUCCGGACUUCCUCAUGGCUCUUGGAGUAUCUUUAAUUUUUUGUUUAUUUAAGUAAUUCUAGUCACUUGGAACAUACAGAUAACUUAAAGAGCUUUUACAUUGUGAUCCCAUUAUUUAAUGCUUUUUCAGGCAUAAAUUAAGUAGUCUGAGAAAAGCACUACCUUUUGCUAUGAAUGUAUCUUAGGUUCCUCUAAAAUUGCAGGGGUUUUUUCUCUUUGGCUGUGAGCAAUUGUUCAGAGCAGUGGACAUUUUCAAUCAUAGCUGACAGAAUCCGAUUUUUAUCUCUAGUUUUUUUUUCAUGUGUACUGCAGGAUUAUUUUAAAAACAGCACCUGGUCCUGGUGAUUUAUGAUAUGAGUUUCUCAGGCUUUCAAUGGGCUCUUCUUUUGAGACAUCUAGGCCUGGGGACACUACUGUGAAUUCCUAUAAGGCACAUCCUUGAGAUAGGCAUUUCUCUGUCACCCUUUAUGUUAAAACCAAAUUAUUUAUAUUCAACUUCUUUACCUGUGACACUUUCUUCCAUCUGGCUGUGGAUAUUACAUAGACAAAACUAAAAAAUAUCCUCCUGAAUUCUAACACCUUUAUGAAUACUUGCAGUUCUUGUGUGUGUGUGUGUGUGUUGUGCAUUGAUACGGGGGUGCUUCAGGCAGCCAUCAGUAGCCAUGAAUACCAAGAGAGCAGAACAUUUUCCAGCAGUACCUGUGAAAGCAAUAACUGCAUUUCUUUGUGCAAGAGUAGUGUUAAACCAGCCCCUCAUUCUUCAGACUGCCAGUGGCUACAGAGAGCUUUUCAUUAGCCAGUGACAGUAGUAAUUUUAUUUUUCACUAAUCUUCAUUAGUUUUUUCUUACUUUACUUUCUUACUUGUUUAUAUUAAUGCUUCAAUAACUGUUAAGAUGUGGUUUAGUUAAGAAACUGUAGCAUCUCUGGUUUGUUGGGUUUGGGUUUCUUCCACUUUGUUUGGAGAAAUUGCUUCAGCCUAGGAAGAAUUCCGUGUCUGCACAAACCCCAUGAAUGAUCAUGACCUCCCUAGCAUUCAGACAUUUGCUGUGUAAUGUUGUGGUGUCAUUAAAGACUGUCUACAUAAGAUACACUUUACUUGAGCUGAUGAGCAUCACAUGUAUCUUCUAAGAAGGCUGAGCAAGUGAAACAUCUUGCCUCAAGAUGUCACAAGUGAUACAGGCACCUGGCCUCUGGUUCUAGUUUGCCUGAGCAGAAACACUUGAGAAAGACCAGAGCUCUUUUGCUUUUCUAACUUCUUGUCCUAGGCUGUCAGCAAGUCUCCUAACACAGCUAGACCUUGAUUAGAUGGAGACAAGGAACAGAACAUUUGCAAAACAGAUCCUGAUUUUAUCCUACAUAAAUUCUUCUGAAGCACAGUUCAGACCUAGGAACACCAGGCAGUCCAAUCAUACAGAGCUGGAAUUUUCAUGAUACAGUGGUCUACAGUACUUUGAUUCCUUGGCCAUAAUUCUAAAGAAAUUAUCAGUAGCAAUAUAGCACCAAAAUUAUAGUAAGGUUGAAUCACUUUUGAAUACUUGAGCUUCAUCAGAGAAAUCAAGCUCCUCACUGUCAAAUCAGGCUCAGAAUCACCCCUCAAACUUUAAUGGGUGUCUGGCCUUCAGUAUUGAUUAAAACAUUCUCUACUCUGCUGGUAGUCAGAGAUCAUUUUUUAUAAGCUUCCAGCAUCCUGUAGGACUAGUUCCAUAUAAAAUACUCCUGUGCUUAGUCAGAACCAGAAGACUGAAAUGUUCUGUACAGUUGUGUUUAGCUGGACAUCCUACACCAGUAGAAGUAGGUGUGGCUCACACUAGAGCAGCUUAGAGAUGGGAACUUCCUGUAUUUUUUAGCAUCUCACAGAUUCAGGAGUGUUAAGGUUGGAAAAGACCUCCAAGAUCUCUAGUCCAACCAUUAACCCAGCACCACCAUGCUUGCCACUAAAUCAUAUCCCCAGGGGCCACACCCACAUGCCUUUUGAGCUUUCCAAGGGAUGGUGAUUUCACCACCUCCCUGGGCAACCUGUUCAAUGCUUAACUGCUCUUCCAGUGAAGAAAGUUUUCCUGCUAUCCAAUCUAAACCUACACUAGCACAACUUGAGGCCAUUUCCUCUUGUCUUGUCACUUGUUAUCUGGGAAAAAGACUGACACCUUGCUACAACAUCCUUUUAGGUAACUGCAGAGAACUUGUUUGUUCUUCCAGGUAACAAGCAACAGGAUGAGAGGAAAUGGCCUCAAACUCUACCAGGGGAGAUUUAGAUUGGACAUUAGGUGGAAUUUCUUCUCAGAAAGGGAGGUUAGAUAUUGGAAUGGGCUGCUCAGGGCAGUGGUGCAGUCACCAUCCCUGAAGGUGUUAAAGAAAAGAUUGGAUGUGGCACUUGGUGCCAUGGUCCAGUUUCAAGGUGCUGUUCAGUUGGUCAUAGGUUGUAUUUGAUCUCAAAGGUCUUUCCCAAGCUAAGUGAUUCUGUGAAAACUGCCUCCAAUGCCAGCAAAUACUGACACAUAGAGCAAAAAGGUGCUGAAGUUUUAUCUCUGCUGCAGAAAUAAUUAUCUCUUGAAAAUGAGGGUCUCUAGACUAUUAUUAGUUAAUAUUGCAAAUGCUAAAUUGAAAUGGUAAGCAUUGCCACAGACAUCUAGAGAGGAAUUUAGAUAUAGUGCAUUAGAAAGCCUUUAUGGCAGUAGUGACAUUUCCAGGCACAGACAUCUUGAUAAGAAGUAUUUCUUUAUGGGUUUUCUGAAGCACAAUGACCUAUUCAAUGCUUUGCAUUCUCUUUGUAUAGACAGGGUUGUACACACACUUCUUAGAUCCCCAAGACAAGUUGCCAACUACAGGCAUCACAAGACCAUAGGCUUUCCAACCCUGCAGGCCUACAUGCCCUCCGGCAAAGCAGCACAGGACUUAAAGAGAAAAAACAAAAAAAAGACAACUUCUUUGUGUGUUGCAGUUCACCUGCUUCUUUCAUCCACAUGGCAGUAUCUGACUGUUUGCACCAGAACAUUUGGAAUGUUUUUGAAGUUGUACCUCUUCCUUUCAAGCACUGAAAUGGUUUUAUAAUAUGUUAAAGCCUACCACCUGUCACAGAGAUUUGUGUAUUCUUGUUGUAGUGUGGAGAGGGCCCACCAUAUUCUAUUUUAGUCAUUCAUUGACUCCUUUUGGUCACAAGGUGUUUUAUGAGAUUAUUGGUAGCACUACUUCUUUUCCUAUGGAAAAGAGAUUCCCUUUUUAACUCUUAAAAAGGGAUGGGGAAAGGUGGUUGUGAGCCAAUUCCAGUACAGUAUUCAAUUUGGGCUGUCCCAGAUCUCAAGAAAUGUAAAUAUGUACAGCUGAAAGAUCAGAUACAGAGAAAUGUUUUCAGCCAGCAGUUUAUCACUACCAAGUUAGAAAGCCCCGAGAGCUCUGAGCUUUCAAAACAGUUAUUUCCACACUGUUACCCACCCUGCCUGAAGGAACCGUGUCGUCUUCCUAGCAGGCGUCAUUGCCUCCAGUGUAAGACCUGUGUGCUUGUCACUGCCUGUUUCAGAAGAACAAAAACCCACAUAUGCAUGCAUGUCCUGAACACUGCGUAAGUGAUCUAAGAACUCUCAUUACAUGCUUCACUCAUGGCUUUUCUUGGUCCUGAGGGUAGGCAAGAAGUCAGCAUAGAUCCCUGCACAGAACAGAGAUGAUCCAAACCAUAGAAGUCUGAUGUUCCAUUAGCCUUCUGUGACUUCGCAUUACAUUCAGCUUUUCUAUUCAAUCUCAGAGCCUACCUCAGAAGCUCAUUGAGAGCAUGGAUCAUGGGUCAGGGGGUGGUGAGGCACUGGCACAGGUUGCCCAGAGAAGCUGUGGAAACCCCAUCCCUGGAAUUGGUCAAGAGCAGGUUGAACGGGGCUUGAAGCAACCUGGUGUAGUGAAAGGUGUCCCUGCCCAGUGCAGAGGGGUUGGAACCAGAUAAUCUUUAAGGUUCCUUCCAACCCAAACUCUUCUGUGAUUCCAGGGGUCAGACUUUCAAUAGCUUAGCACAAGACACUCUUAUAGCACAGCUUAUGAGGGCAAACUAUAGCCAAAAGAGGAGUUGUUCAAGUGUUCCUGUGCCUGCCUGGGCGUUUUCCAGCAUGGAGUCUCCAAAAAAGAAUCUUGCAAAAAGAUGAUAGUUUUCUCAUCAUUUUUCCAACAUGUAUUUGUGGAGAUUUGGAGGCUGUAUAUGGACAGUGAAGUCUAGAUUGCACUAUCACACUAAAAUUGUCAGAUCUUAUGAAAUAGGAACAGAAAGCAGUUUUAGCCUAACCAAUGAUGGAAGAAGCUUCUGUUACAUCAGGGACCAUAGAGAUACAAUGUUUCCCUUAAAUUCUUGACAUGGCCAUAUUUAAGCUAUUAAUGUGUUCUGGAAAUCUAUGGUUUACUGAGCCAUUUUCAGAAGAUAAUGUUUUGAACAACUGUAGGUAGCAAAUGAAUAUCAUAUGGCUUAAGGAUAGAUUUGCAAAUGGAGAAAAGGUAAACCAGUCUUUUACAGGAAAUACCUUUCCAGUUUAUGGAAAACUAGGAACUUACUGACAGGGUUAAUGCUCACCAUAGUGCAACUGGCAUUGAAACAAAGGCCACCAAUAGGACAUAUCCAGGAAGUAUUCAGUAGGCUUAUCACCCCCUGCACUACCAAAACAGUGAUGUUAUUCUGAUCUUCAAAGUUUAUCUAUUUGAUCUCCAAAAGCUUAGCAUUUGUUUCUAGGUGUGAGGUAUCAACAUGACUAAUCCAUCUGAUGUCUGGAUCCUGCAAUGUUUCACUUCACAGCACAUAUGCAGAAAUUACCUCCUAAAGAGAAAUUUUCUUCUUCAGGUUUGUAUAGAAGGUAUUACCCACCUAUCUGGUCGCCCCUGUGAGAUCUGCUUUUCCUUGUCCUGUGGCAUUGACAUUUCUGACAGCUCUGUCCUCUCCUCAAUACAGUAAGAUGUGUCUCUUUGGUUCCACAAAGGCCAUGACUCUUUCGAGCCUAAUUUUAUUCCUUUACUUCCUCUCUGUAAUGGGAAGGAAGUGAGUUUGCCUCCUUCUGUGGAUCUCUGCCUGCCCUUACCACGUAGCCCCUUCCUCUGUCCUACCAGGACCCAACUGAGGAGCAAGCUGAAGACAUAGUAAAACCACAAAGAUUAAAGGAUGGAAGGAUCAGCAUGCAUUCUGUUUAUUGUUAAAUACAACAUUGUAAAUAAACCGGUAUGUCAGCAAUUCUUUUAUUACUCAGUUUAGAUAUCACUGGGGAACAAAAACAAAAACCAUAAACCAGCCUUUUCAGAAGGCCCUCAAUGAAAGCUACAAACUGCCUUUGAAAUUCAAAGAAAACUCAGUUCCUGACUCCAAAGUACCAGUAAAACCCCAGACUUGAUGUUUCCAAUCUAUUGCCUUUUUUUUUUCCAAUGGAGAAUCAGGAUGGAACAAUGUUGCAAUGUUUAAUUCUUCACAGUUUCAGCAAGCACUCAGCUGACUGCUGUAACAGUAACUUGCUUAGAAAGCAAAGCCCUAAAUUAAUUUUCUACAGCAGACUUGUACACAUUACAGUUUCCAACCUUUAGGGCCACAUUCAUCAUCCUUCUGACCAGAAAAAAGACACCAAUUACUGAACCAUUCCAUUAGAUUGAAAACAGAGUAGAAAUGGAGUAAAGAUCCUUGGAAAAAAUUUACACAUCAGAUCACACUUUAGGAAGUUAUUUCAGCAGAAACUACAUGAUGGUCUAAAAAACUGACCUUUUUUAAUAGAAGUCAGAUUUAUUUGUAUUUUAUAUGAUGACUAGUAAUUUACUUCUCACCCACCCAUUUGAGAAUAUUCAGGACUCCAGGCAUAUCUUCAGCCAGAACCAGACUAUUCAAAUCAUUGUUGGUCCAUCCAUGUACUAGUUACAACAAGGCCUUCUGUGACUAAUUAUGGUCUGCAGCAGGAGAGGCAGCUUCAAAGAAUGAGAAUCUUCAGACACACUAGCAGUUCCUUUGGUUCCCAAAUUCAUUAUUUAUGUGGAUUACAUUGAGCUGACAGAUUUAACUGGGCUGCUGAAGAUAUGGUCAAAGAAGCAGAGUCACUCCCUUCCCUUUUAUUGUCUUCUGAAGACAUAACAGUCAUAUGCAUCUGUCACUAGAGAGAGGAAGUUCUCCAUCAUUGGACUUCAUUUGGGGUUUUAUAGGCUGUUUCAGUAGCAUUUGGGAAUAGAUCAAUAUAAUAUGUGGUAGGGAGUUGUAUUUCUUCAUGAUGCACUGUAAAUCUUUUAUUGAAGAUACUCCCACCAUUUAUUGUCGAAAAUCAAUAAAAAUAAACCUUGUAAAGUUAAA
Non-coding RNA from Zonotrichia albicollis (white-throated sparrow), 14046 nucleotides. The record is from RefSeq and is a predicted model, not a curated record. NCBI's taxonomy places the organism in Eukaryota, Metazoa, Chordata, Aves, Passeriformes, Passerellidae.